Molecule: ribosomal RNA, 460 nt
Filed under: uncultured bacterium
Lineage: Bacteria
Description: partial 16S ribosomal RNA
Rfam family: Bacterial small subunit ribosomal RNA
Source: RNAcentral
CCUACGGGAGGCAGCAGUGAGGAAUAUUUGUCAAUGGGCGCGAGCCUGAACCAGCCAAGUAGCGUGAAGGAUGACUGCCCUACGGGUUGUAAACUUCUUUUAUAAAGGAAUAAAGUGAAGCACGUGUGCCUUUUUGUAUGUACUUUAUGAAUAAGGAUCGGCUAACUCCGUUCCAGCAGCCGCGGUAAUACGGAUGAUCCGAGCGUUAUCCGGAUUUAUUGGGUUUAAAGGUAGCGUAGAUGGGUUGUUAAGUCAGUUGUGAAAGUUUGCGGCUCAACCGGAAAAUUGCAAUUGAGACUGGCAGCCUAGAGUACAGUUGAGGUAGGCGGAAUGCGUGGUGUAGCGGUGAAAUGCUUAGAUAUCACGAGGAACACCGAUUGCGAAGGCAGCUUACUAAACUGCAACUGACAUUGAUGCUCGAAAGUGUGGGUAGCAAACAGGAUUAGAUACCCGAGUAGUC